This 349-nucleotide small RNA is filed under the name Pan troglodytes (chimpanzee). RNAcentral's name for it is "processed transcript". Lineage: Eukaryota; Metazoa; Chordata; Mammalia; Primates; Hominidae. The record is from RNAcentral.
AGGAAUCUCUGGGAAAGCUGACCACUGGAGAUGCUUGUGUCUCUACCAGCUGUGCACUAGCCAGUGCUCUGUCCCAUCCGGAUGCCAGCCACCUCACAGAGAACCUGCCCAAAGCUGCAUCAGAGCUGGGGCAACAACCCAUGACUGGCUCUUCUACACCCGACAUCACUUGGAGAGGCUGCUGGGCCUUCCACCCCACGGAUGUGCUGUAACGAGUCAACCUUCCUCCCAUGAUUGGGCAUUUCGAAUGUUUCCAGAGAAAAGGUUGUCUUGAAAGGUGACAACCAAAGGCUGCCUCAGUGUAACCUCGUCUCCCUCAGAUGAAGACCUUUUAAGUUACAGACUUUGC